UGGGGAAUUUUGCGCAAUGGGCUAACGCCUGACGCAGCAACGCCGCGUGGAGGAUGAAGGUCUUUGGAUUGUAAACUCCUGUCAGCAGGGAAAAAGCGAAUCGGCCUAACACGCCGGUGAGUUGAUUGUACCUGCAGAGGAAGCCCCGGCUAACUCUGUGCCAGCAGCCGCGGUAAUACAGAGGGGGCAAGCGUUAUUCGGAAUUAUUGGGCGUAAAGGGCGCGUAGGCGGCUUCGCAAGUGGAUGGUGAAAUCCCUCGGCUUAACCGAGGAAUUGCCGUCCAAACUGCGUUGCUUGAGGCCGGGAGAGGCGAGUGGAAUUCCCAGUGUAGCGGUGAAAUGCGUAGAUAUUGGGAGGAACACCAGUGGCGAAGGCGGCUCGCUGGACCGGUUCUGACGCUGAUGCGCGAAAGCGUGGGGAGCAAAC
Molecule: ribosomal RNA, 426 nt
Filed under: uncultured bacterium
Lineage: Bacteria
Description: bacterial SSU rRNA
Rfam family: Bacterial small subunit ribosomal RNA
Source: RNAcentral